This 1430-nucleotide ribosomal RNA is filed under the name uncultured organism. RNAcentral's name for it is "16S ribosomal RNA". It matches the Rfam family "Bacterial small subunit ribosomal RNA". The record is from RNAcentral.
GCUUAACACAUGCAAGUCGAGGGGCAGCAUGAUCUUUGCUUGCUAAGGUUGAUGGCGACCGGCGCACGGGUGCGUAACGCGUAUGCAACUUGCCUUACAGAGGGGGAUAACCCGUUGAAAGACGGACUAAAACCGCAUACACUUGUAUUAUUGCAUGAUAUUACAAGGAAAUAUUUAUAGCUGUAAGAUAGGCAUGCGUCCCAUUAGCUGGUUGGUGAGGUAACGGCUCACCAAGGCGACGAUGGGUAGGGGAACUGACAGGUUUAUCCCCCACACUGGUACUGAGACACGGACCAGACUCCUACGGGAGGCAGCAAUGAGGAAUAUUGGUCAAUGGGCGAUAGCCUGAACCAGCCAAGUCGCGUGAAGGAAGACAGUCCUAAGGAUUGUAAACUUCUUUUAUACGGGAAUAACGGGCGAUACGAGUAUUGCAUUGAAUGUACCGUAAGAAUAAGCAUCGGCUAACUCCGUGCCAGCAGCCGCGGUAAUACGGAGGAUGCGAGCGUUAUCCGGAUUUAUUGGGUUUAAAGGGUGCGUAGGUUGUUCGGUAAGUCAGCGGUGAAACCUGAGCGCUCAACGUUCAGCCUGCCGUUGAAACUGCCGGGCUUGAGUUCAGUGGCGGCAGGCGGAGUUCGUGGUGUAGCGGUGAAAUGCAUAGAUAUCACGAGGAACUCCGAUUGCGAAGGCAGCUUGCCAUACUGCGACUGACACUGAAGCACGAAGGCGUGGGUAUCAAACAGGAUUAGAUACCCUGGUAGUCCACGCAGUAAACGAUGAUUACUAGGAGUUUGCGAUAUACCGUCAAGCUUCCACAGCGAAAGCGUUAAGUAAUCCACCUGGGGAGUACGCCGGCAACGGUGAAACUCAAAGGAAUUGACGGGGGCCCGCACAAGCGGAGGAACAUGUGGUUUAAUUUGAUGAUACGCGAGGAACCUUACCCGGGAUUGAAAUGUAGAUGACGGAUGGUGAAAACCGUCUUCCCUUCGGGGCUUCUAUGUAGGUGCUGCAUGGUUGUCGUCAGCUCGUGCCGUGAGGUGUCGGCUUAAGUGCCAUAACGAGCGCAACCCACAUCGGUAGUUGCUAACAGUUUUCGCUGAGGACUCUACCGAGACUGCCGUCGUAAGGCGUGAGGAAGGUGUGGAUGACGUCAAAUCAGCUACGGCCCUUACAUCCGGGGCGACACACGUGUUACAAUGGGAGGGACAAAGGGCAGCUCCCGGGCGACCGGAUGCGAAUCUCUAAACCCUUCCCCAGUUCGGAUCGGAGUGUGCAACUCGACUCCGUGAAGCUGGAUUCGCUAGUAAUCGCGCAUCAGCCAUGGCGCGGUGAAUACGUUCCCGGGCUUUGUACACACCGCCCGUCAAGCCAUGGGAGUCGGGGGUACCUGAAGGGCGUAACGGCAAGGGGCGCACUAGGGUAAUACCGGUGAC